UAAGCGGAGGAAAAGAAACUAACAAGGAUUCCCCCAGUAACGGCGAGUGAAGCGGGAAGAGCUCAAGCUUAAAAUCUCCAUACUUGUAUGGCGAAUUGUAGUCUAUUGAGGCUGUUGUCAGCAUCGCGAUUGGGGACAAGUCCCUUGGAAAAGGGCAGCAUGGAGGGUGAUACUCCCGUCUCUGCUCCAAUCUGCGGUGUGUACGAUACGCUUUCUUUGAGUCGAGUUGUUUGGGAAUACAGCUCAAAGUAGGUGGUAAAUUCCAUCUAAAGCUAAAUAUUGGUGCGAGACCGAUAGCGAACAAGUACCGUGAGGGAAAGAUGAAAAGAACUUUGAAAAGAGAGUUAAAGAGUACCUGAAACUGUUGAAAGGGAACCGUAUCGUUUCCAGUGUUGUAUCCUAUGCAUAUUUCAUUCGUGGAGUAAUUUACGGGUGCCCUGUGCAUGGGUGUGACGUCAGGGUCAGUUUGUAUGCUGCGGGAGAUGGUCAGUGAGGAGGUGCGUCACUUCGGUGAAAGUUAUAUCUCGCUGUCUAGUAGCCGUGGUUGAGACUGAGGUGCCUACAACAUGCCUUAAGGUUCUAUGUUGUCUCGUGUUGGUGACUGCUUUGAUAGCUUGCUAUGUCUGUGGUUUAUUAAUGCGAUUGAUGAUGUGGAUAACUUUUGCUGUUCGGGACUCUGGCGAAAUGGAGCGAUCGACC
Molecule: ribosomal RNA, 699 nt
Filed under: Saprolegnia sp. UNCW300
Lineage: Eukaryota; Oomycota; Saprolegniomycetes; Saprolegniales; Saprolegniaceae
Description: eukaryotic LSU rRNA
Rfam family: Eukaryotic large subunit ribosomal RNA
Source: RNAcentral